This 483-nucleotide ribosomal RNA is filed under the name uncultured bacterium. Its description in RNAcentral is "partial 16S ribosomal RNA". It matches the Rfam family "Bacterial small subunit ribosomal RNA", at positions 28 to 523 of the family's 1533-position model. The record is from RNAcentral.
GAUGAACGCUGGCGGCGUGCUUAACACAUGCAAGUCGAACGAUGAAGCCGGAGCUUGCUCUGGUGAUUAGUGGCGAACGGGUGAGUAACACGUGAGUAACCUGCCCUUGACUCUGGGAUAACUGCGGGAAACUGUAGCUAAUACCGGAUACGACCCUCGGCGGCAUCGCCAGGGGGUGGAAAGAAUUUCGGUCAAGGAUGGACUCGCGGCCUAUCAGCUAGUUGGUGAGGUAACGGCUCACCAAGGCGACGACGGGUAGCCGGCCUGAGAGGGUGACCGGCCACACUGGGACUGAGACACGGCCCAGACUCCUACGGGAGGCAGCAGUGGGGAAUAUUGCACAAUGGGCGCAAGCCUGAUGCAGCAACGCCGCGUGAGGGAUGACGGCCUUCGGGUUGUAAACCUCUUUUAGUAGGGAAGAAGCGAAAGUGACGGUACCUGCAGAAAAAGCACCGGCUAACUACGUGCCAGCCGCCGCAGUAA